GGGGUAAUGCCGGGAACUCUAACGAAACUGCCGGUGUAAACCGAGAGGAAGGUGGGGAUGACGUCAAAUCAGCACGGCCCUUAUGUCCAGGGCUACACACGUGUUACAAUGGCCGGUACAGAGGGCAGCUACCUGGAGACAGGAUGCGAAUCUCGAAAGCCGGUCUCAGUUCGGAUCGGAGUCUGCAACUCGACUCCGUGAAGCUGGAUUCGCUAGUAAUCGCGCAUCAGCCAUGGCGCGGUGAAUACGUUCCCGGGCCUU
RNAcentral lists this ribosomal RNA (261 nucleotides) under uncultured Sphingobacteriales bacterium. Its description in RNAcentral is "partial 16S ribosomal RNA". It matches the Rfam family "Bacterial small subunit ribosomal RNA", at positions 1122 to 1382 of the family's 1533-position model. Lineage: Bacteria; Pseudomonadati; Bacteroidota; Sphingobacteriia; Sphingobacteriales. The record is from RNAcentral.